Molecule: ribosomal RNA, 1233 nt
Filed under: Triticum aestivum (bread wheat)
Lineage: Eukaryota; Viridiplantae; Streptophyta; Magnoliopsida; Poales; Poaceae
Description: partial small subunit ribosomal RNA
Source: RNAcentral
AUGGAUCGGAUCGUCGGUAGCAAGUACAAGCUGGGCCGCAAGAUCGGGAGCGGCUCCUUCGGGGAGAUAUAUCUCGCCACGCAUGUCGACACGUACGAGAUUGUAGCCGUCAAGAUCGAAAACAGCAAAACCAACCAUCCCCAAUUGUUAUACGAGGCCAAACUGUAUAAUGCUCUUCAGGGAGGGACUGGUAUUGCAAACAUAAAAUGGUGUGGCAUUGAUGGCGAAGAAAAUGUUCUUGUUAUUGAUUUGCUUGGGCCAAGCCUUGAGGAUCUGUUUGUUUAUUGUGGCCGGAGAUUCUCACUGAAGACAGUUUUGAUGUUGGCAGAUCAGAUGAUAACAAGAAUAGAGUUUUUGCAUUCUAAGGGGUACUUGCACAGGGACAUCAAGCCCGACAACUUUCUUAUGGGCCUUGGUCGGAAAGCUAACCAGGUCUACAUCAUUGACUUCGGACUUGCCAAGAGAUACCGUGACUCAACCACGAAUCGCCAUAUACCCUAUAGAGAAAAUAAAAAUUUGACUGGCACAGCUCGCUAUGCAAGCUGCAACACUCAUCUUGGGAUUGAGCAAAGCCGAAGGGAUGAUCUGGAGUCCAUUGGAUAUGUUCUCUUGUAUUUUCUAAGGGGAAGUCUUCCUUGGCAGGGUUUAAAAGCUGCCACAAAGAAGCAGAAAUAUGACAAAAUAAGUGAGAAGAAGCUUUCAACACCUAUCGAGGUUUUGUGUAAAACCCAUCCUGUGGAAUUUGCUUCUUAUUUCCACUAUUGCCAUUCAUUGACAUUUGAUCAACGGCCAGACUACGGUUUUCUGCGACGGCUCUUUAGAGACCUGUCGGACCGUGAAGGGCACCAAUUCGAUCAUGUCUUUGACUGGACGCUGUUGAAGUGUAAGCAAACCCAGAAGGUGAAGGCUCAACAGCAAGAUCCUGGUGUAAGUAGCAGGCCGGUUGCAAAGAAUAUGGACAAACACCAAGUUAGUGGUUUACGUGCAGCUGAAGCUUCUUGUCAGCUUGAAGCAGAACAACGCCCAGUAAUCAGAAUGCAAAUAAGAUCUACUGCUGAGAACAGCCGUUCAAAUAAUCGACAUUCUGAUAAAUUGAGGGUGAGUGCUAGCACUGAUAAGGAAUUGCUGCAAUCAACAUCAUUUGGCCAUGCUGGUGCCCCAAGGAAGAACGGAUCAAUCUCCAAAACACCAUGGCUUGUCGAUCCCAACUCAGGACCUUCAAACCACCUUUAG